CCGAAAACUCCAUUAAUGGCAUCGCCAGGAUAUCAUGAAGAUCAAGAGGAUGAUGAUGAUGAUGAUGGUGGAGUUUACCAGCCUGGGUAUAUCCCGGAUCAGUUUGAAAAGAAAAGAAGUAAAAAAGUGGAAUUUAUCAUUUUAAUUGAAUGGAUUGCAUUGUUUAGCAUAUUGGGUUUUUUGAUUGUUAGCUUAACUGUAGAUAAAUUGAGUAGUUUGUACGUUUCGGGAUUGCGCAUAUGGAGAUGGUGUGUGUUGGUAUUGGUGUUUUUCUGUGGGCAUUUGGUUACUCAAUGGUUUACUGAGUUGUUAGUGUUUGUGAUUGAAAGGAAUUAUUUGCUUAAGAACAAGGUUUUAUAUUUUCUUUACAGUUUGAGGAAGAGUUUUCGAGUAUCGCUUUGGUUGGGCUUGGUUCUGAUAGCUUGGGCAUUGUUGAUUAAUAGAGGGGUCAAGCGGUCAAGGCAUACUAUGAGAGUACUGAAUCAUAUUACAAGGGCUCUUGCAUCUAGUCUUAUUGGAUCAGUUUUGUGGAUGACCCUUUCAGGCCCUGCAUUGAUGGAAAAUGCUGAUACAGCUGGACGGUUCAGGAAUAGCGGGAGGUUGAGCUUCAAGUACUCAAUGAAAGGGAAACAAAAGGGGAAAGGGGAUGAGGUGGUUAAUGUGGAUAAACUUUACAAUCUGACACGAGAGAAGAUUUCUUCUUUCACAAUGAAUGGGUUAGUUCAAGUAAUAAGGACUUCAGGAUUAUCAACUAUUUCUGAUGCGCUUGAGCGGAGCGAUGAUGACGAAGAGGUUCCACAGAAGGAGAUUGUAAGUGAGGUUGAAGCAAAGGCUGCUGCUAGAGAUAUUUUUAAGAAAGUAGCCAAGUCUGGCAACAGGUAUAUUGAUGAAGGAGAUCUUUUGCGGUUUUUUCCACCUGAGGAAGUUGGUAAUGUGCUUCCACUAUUCGAAGGAACUGCACAAACUGGACAGAUCAUGAAAGCAUCCUUCAAGAGUUGGGUGGUAAAGGUCUACAAUGAACGGAAAUAUCUAGCACAUUCUCUGAAUGAUGCCAAAACAGCUGUUGAAGAGCUUAACAAGAUCUCUUCUGCAAUUAUUUUAGUAGUCAUCAUUAUAGUGUGGUUGCUGUUGAUGGGAUUUGCUACAACUAAAGUGUUGGUCUUCAUUUCAUCUCAACUUCUACUGGUGGUCUUCAUGUUUGGCAACACAGCCAAAACGGUAUUUGAAGCAAUGGUCUUCGUAUUUGGAACCCACCCGUUUGAUGUUGGCGAUAGAUGCGUUGUCGAUGGGGUGCAGAUGAUUGUUGAAGAGAUGAACAUUUUGACAACAAUCUUCUUGAGAUAUGACAAUCAGAUGAUAUACUAUCCAAAUAGCAUUCUUGCUACUAAACCAAUCACCAACUUUAAUAGAAGUCCACCGUUGGGUGAUUCUGUGGAGUUUUCUGUCGAUUUUUCCACUUCAGUCGAGAGCAUAGCAGCUCUGAAGGCCAAACUAAAAGGGUUUUCAUUAUUGCUUCGCACGCCAAGCUUCAUGUAAUGACUUUGGACAGUUCAACUUCAAUUUUCCUUUCUAGUUCCAUCCUGCAGCUGUUCUUUUCUAGUUCCAACACACACUCGACGAGAUUGAUUUCGGCAAAAGAACCAACUGGAUACACAGAACUCCCCCUGCUUUUCUAGUUUCUGCUGUAGUACAAGUAAACCUUGCUCUGUAAUGCAAAUUGCAUUGGCAACCAGAAAAGAAAUUUACUUAGUCUGACUAUUGCUGCCCAGUACUUUUACAUUUCAUUUCUGGAGCCCAAAUGAAAAGGAAGGAAACUUCCAUAAUUGGUUGUAGAUGUAGUGUUUUAAUGGACAAUGUGCUUUGUGGUGUGUUUCAGGUAUUUGGAGAGCAAGCCUGAACAGUGGCAGCCUAGCCACAGCGUCCAGAUCAAGGAAAUUGAGGAUGUGAACAAGCUCAAGAUGGCUCUCUACGUUACUCAUGCCAUAAACUCAUCAUCAUCGCAGAGAAGCAGCCACAGAUCUGAUCUAGUCCUUGAGCUGAAGAAAAUUUUUGAAGUUCUUCAAAUCAAUUAUCAUCUUCUUCCUCAAGAAGUGCAUGUCAGAUAUGUUGGAUCAGAGUUUCCUCCAUCUAACA
Molecule: non-coding RNA, 2133 nt
Organism: Coffea arabica (coffee)
Lineage: Eukaryota; Viridiplantae; Streptophyta; Magnoliopsida; Gentianales; Rubiaceae
Source: RefSeq, a predicted model, not a curated record